Molecule: non-coding RNA, 4252 nt
Organism: Danio rerio (zebrafish)
Lineage: Eukaryota; Metazoa; Chordata; Actinopteri; Cypriniformes; Danionidae
Source: Ensembl
UUUUACAGCAAAAUUAUACAGGAAUUUAUUGUUUUAACAUUUCACAAGUUAUUAUUGUAAUUCGCAAUGCAUUAUGGGUUAAACCAAGAGUUACAGUUGUUAACUGCAAAUUUCUACAGGGACUGUAAAUUAAUUUACAGGUAGGAGGUGUGUCAAUGUAGAUUCUGCGUUUUUACAACAACAUGUUGUAGUGUGGAAUUAUGGGAUUUCGCGGGCUGAUGCAGAUUUGAAAUAUGGUGGACUGGACAAGCGGGAGAAAACAGAAGGCAUUAUUCGUUAAUUUCAAGGAACUUUGGUGAAAAAAUCAAGACGUGGUGAAUUAGGUUGUUGGAGGUGACUCGAAUCUGAUCGAUAAAGAUUUAUAAAGGCAUGUCCACGUUGGAUGAGGACGUACGAGAUGCUGUAUUGGCAGUCCUACCUGGGCUAUCAGAGGAGAAACUAGUGUCUCUUUUGAACAAAUUGGCAAGCAUAGGAGUUGAAUCCAAAUCUGACUUGCAGUUUGUUAAAGAGGACGAUCUUCCUGAUCACAUCACACCAAUACAGUGUCGUCGGCUCCUCAAUGCAUGGAAUAUAGAAGACAAAACAGUUUGUGCCAAAGUAUCACCUUUAGAAUCCACAAACAUAGUCUUUGAUGUAUCACCAGUAAACUCACCAUCUUCAAAUUUCAGUUCCUCACGUACACCAAGUGUCUCUAGCACAAACAGCUCCAGUUCAACUGUCGAUUUAACUGUAUGGCCUGAAAACUUUGAAGUUCCAUGGAAUCGGAUGUCUUCUGGUAUUAAAACUGCCACUGCACUGGGUAGACGCCCCACAGCUAAAGAACGCAGAGAAAUGGUGAGAAUCAUUGUUGAUGAGAUGAGACAGACAGAGUUAAAUCCAUCAAAAUCACAAUGUCUGAUUGUUGCAAAGAAGAUUGUUAAACAGUACCCACAAAGCUUUGCUGAUGUUUUGAAAGAUGGCACAAGAAUUGGGACUGGCUAUGGAUCCCUUUUGAUACAGCUAAAAACAAGAGUGGAGCAUGUUAAUCGUGGCUGCUCAUUUUCGAGACGCAGGAAACAAAAAAAGACCUCAAAUUCACCACCCGAGGACACUGGACCAGGGCCUACUGACCAGUAUGGAUGUGUAAGGUGGCAGCCUGAGUGUCCUGUUGAUGAUACUGAAGAAAGUCUCCAAGAAAAGCAGGAAGAAAUGAAGGACCUCUAUAGUUGUGAGGGGCCAGCUGGAGCUCAAAAAGGACAUCUAAGUCAAUUAAUGAAAGCUACAUACUACCUCCAACGUAAAUCGAUUAAUGCCUGUCCACCACCAUCCAUUGCUGAGUUGAAAAAUGAGUGGCCAUAUCUUUUUACACCCAAAGAACUGUAUAGCCACUUUAAGUCACUUACCAACAUCAGCAUUUUGGAAAGACUUGAGAAGUCCAUGGAAGAAAAAGGAAAGAUGAUUCUUCAGUUUUUCCAUCAAAAGCCAGCAGGGACCAAAACAGAUGAGAUUCAGCGAAUACUUCUGAAGUUUGAUGAUAGUGGAGCUUCAAGUUUCAUUCCAUGUGUGGUCCUUGUGCUUCUGUCACACUUUAAAGAAAAAAACGAUGCACUGAUUCUUCAGACGGAUGUAAGUCUUAUAGUGUAUUUUUAAAGUACAUAUUUUGUUCUUAUAACCGAAAAGUAAAUGCAUUUUAAUCAAACCCCCCCCCCCUCUCACUUUUUUCUUGUAGGUGUCAGCAACAGCAGGUGAUGUGGAGAAAAGCUUGGUGCUUCCAGACUCUCCAAGACUAAUUGUCUUAGGUAAUGUACAAUGUCCUGUAAUAAAUCUGUAAAUUUAUUAAAUAAACUUUGCAAGCAUUUUUGUGUAAGUGUUGCUUAUAUAUUUAUUAAUUUUAGGGGACAUUCUCACUGCAACUCAGUGGAUGCUGAGCAUCGAGGGACAAGUAGUUGUUGGUCCACACCCCAAUUUCAUAGCUGGAUUUGCAGCUUUGUUUUCAAGCUACUACAACUUCAAUCUGGUGUACCAGGAGCAGGCGUCUUGCACACUCGAAUUUGUUCAAAGGUAAGAAAAUGACUUAAAUAGAAGUUCUGUCAUCAUUUACUCUUCCUCACUUGUCAUAAACAUCUUUUAGUUCUCUUUGCUUUUGUUGAACACAAAAUAAUAUAUUUUGAUGAAAGAAAAACACUUCUAAUCAUUCACUUCCAGAGUUUUUAGGUUGAACUACACCUUUAAUACAACUCAAAUGCAUUUUUUAUUCAUUUAUUUACCCUCAGGCUAUCCAAUAUUUAGGUGACUUAAUGACUUAUUAUAGUCUCAUGCAAAAGUUAAAUUAUCAGUCUUUGCAAGAAACUAAUUAUGAUGAUAACUAUUCUACUUUUAAACCAUGUACAGGAUAAGCCAGACAACUCUGGAGCUUGAGUUUUCUUUCACAGAAAGACAUGUUAAUUGUAAAUCUUGUGUGAACCAAAAUGAUUCUUAUUUACACACAUUGUACCUCUGUUGUAAAUAAUAAAUUCAGUUCAUUUAUGUUUCUGGUUGCGUGUUCCAUCAUAUGACAGAAAGCUUGAGCUCUGGAUUAGUUUGUUAUGGCAGUGCUGUACAAACAUUUUUUUGUACAAACUGAUUGUUUCCCUUCAUAUGACCACAAUAUAUCUGUUAUAUCUAUCUUUUUAUGGUAGUCAUUUACUUUCAUUAUAAAACUCACAACAGACCACAGUAUCAGUUAAAACCUUAAUUUUCAACUGAAGGAAACUACACUGCAAAAAAUGCUUUUCUUACUUAGAUUUUUGGUCUUGUUUCUAGUCUAAAUAUCUAAAAUUUCUUAAAUCAAGAAGCAAUUUCUAGACAAGCAAAACAUAUUGUCUUGUUUUGAGAAAUAAAAUGCCAAUAUUAAGUUAGUUUUUCCUUAUCUGCCAAUGGGGUAAGCAAAAUAAUCUUGUUUUUUCUUUUGACGUGUAAGAUUAUUUUGCUUACCCCAUUGGCAGAUUAUUUUGCUUGUUUUAAGGAAAAAUGUAAAAUUUAGGAAUUUUAAGAUAUUUGGACUAGAAACAAGACAAAAAAAAUCUAAGUAAGAAAAGCAUUUUUGCAGUGUAGUUUUAUUUUAUUGUAAAGCUCCUGUCUUUAUUUUAUGACUGGUCUUUUUGCAGAUGCUUUGUUGGAAUCAAUCCACCCACUGGGACCAAGGCAGCCACAGCAAAGAUUGGAGGAAAAAAAGGUGGAAAGGUGUCAGAGAAGAGGAACCACACAGUCAAUCCUCAUGUUUGUACUCUUCUCAGAAAGCUAAUGGACUUUGAAUGGUUAAGCAUGUAAGUGAGUUCAAAGUUCAAAUACAGGACUUCUGCAAAAUGAACAAACUUGUUAUAGACACACAUUUAUAAUAUUUUGAUUGUUCAAGAACAUCUUAAAGCUAUUUGUACUUUAUUUUUUGAAAUUUUGAGAAUGUUUUUCAGCAAUGUUCAGCAACAGAAAUGUUAUUUUACAAGUUGAACUCUUAGAGUGCUCUGCUGUCAGUUUUAAAAAAAUAGUUUAUUACAAUUGUUUGUAUAGACACGUGAUGUUGUAACAUUUGGGAUAUCUUUGGGAUAUCAAAAUAUCUUAUUUACUGCCACUUUUGACACUUUGUGAAUAUAGAUAAUUUUGUUAAAAUAAAUUGUUUAAAUGUGUUUUGGCAUAGCUGAUUCACUUUAUUGAGUUUUAAUCAACCCAGAAUAUUGCUUCAAAUUUAAAGUCUUUAAUAAAAAAUAAAUGCUGUUAUUACAAUAAUUUUGCAUUUGUUUUUUUUUAUUAUUAUUAUUAAAAAUGUAUAGUGUAUGUUUGGUGUAUAGUGUAAUGCAUUUAAAACAACAAGUAAUAGAUUUGCUUACUGUAAAAAAAAUCAUGAUUUACAGCAUUUUCAAGGUAAAACUAUUACAACAACAUCUUGGGUUUUGGGGUAUUUACAAGAUUUUAUUGGCAACUUUAGUUGCCAGGUAAAUACUGUAAUGUAGUGGAAUUACAAGAAAGUACUGUAAUGUAAAAUACAAGUUAAUUUUGUAUUGCUGUAAAAAACACAAGAAAAUAAUGUAUUUCAAAUACAAUUAUUAGCUGUAAAUUGAUUUACAGUAUUUUACUGUAAUCUAUUUUACAGCAAUUUACAACAUUUUUACAAGACAUUAUUGGCAACUUUUUUGCCAGGUAAUUCCUGUAAAUUCUACAGUAAAUUUUUUACAGUGUAGCCUAGGCAAGGCAAGUUUAUUUAUAUAGCACAUGUACAAUGGUAAUUCACAGUGCUUUA